GACGAACGCUGGCGGCGUGCCUAAUACAUGCAAGUUGAGCGCUGAAGGUUGGUACUUGUACCGACUGGAUGAGCAGCGAACGGGUGAGUAACGCGUGGGGCAUCUGCCUUUGAGCGGGGGACAACAUUUGGAAACGAAUGCUAAUACCGCAUAAAAACUUUAAACACAAGUUUUAAGUUUGAAAGAUGCAAUUGCAUCACUCAAAGAUGAUCCCGCGUUGUAUUAGCUAGUUGGUGAGGUAAAGGCUCACCAAGGCGAUGAUACAUAGCCGACCUGAGAGGGUGAUCGGCCACAUUGGGACUGAGACACGGCCCAAACUCCUACGGGAGGCAGCAGUAGGGAAUCUUCGGCCAUGGACGAAAGUCUGACCGAGCAACGCCGCGUGAGUGAAGAAGGUCUUCGGAUCGUAAAACUCUGUUGGUAGAGAAGAACGUGGGUGAGAGUGGAAAGCUCAUCAAGUGACGGUAACUACCCAGAAAGGGACGGCUAACUACGUG
Molecule: ribosomal RNA, 497 nt
Filed under: uncultured bacterium
Lineage: Bacteria
Description: partial 16S ribosomal RNA
Rfam family: Bacterial small subunit ribosomal RNA
Source: RNAcentral